GAUGAACGCUGGCGGCGUGCCUAAUACAUGCAAGUCGAGCGAACAGACGAGGCGCUUGCUCCUCUGACGUUAGCGGCGGACGGGUGAGUAACACGUGGAUAACCUACCUAUAAGACUGGGAUAACUUCGGGAAACCGGAGCUAAUACCGGAUAACAUGUUGAACCGCAGGGUUCAACAGUGAAAGACGGUCUUGCUGUCACUUAUAGAUGGAUCCGCGCCGCAUUAGCUAGUUGGUAAGGUAACGGCUUACCAAGGCAACGAUGCGUAGCCGACCUGAGAGGGUGAUCGGCCACACUGGAACUGAGACACGGUCCAGACUCCUACGGGAGGCAGCAGUAGGGAAUCUUCCGCAAUGGGCGAAAGCCUGACGGAGCAACGCCGCGUGAGUGAAGAAGGUCUUCGGAUCGUAAAACUCUGUUAUUAGGGAAGAACAAAUGUGUAAGUAACUAUGCACGUCUUGACGGUACCUAAUCAGAAAGCCACGGCUAACUACGUG
This 497-nucleotide ribosomal RNA is filed under the name uncultured bacterium. RNAcentral's name for it is "partial 16S ribosomal RNA". It matches the Rfam family "Bacterial small subunit ribosomal RNA", at positions 28 to 507 of the family's 1533-position model. The record is from RNAcentral.